RNAcentral lists this ribosomal RNA (633 nucleotides) under Sordariomycetes sp. Its description in RNAcentral is "eukaryotic LSU rRNA". The stretch from base 103 to 633 matches the Rfam family "Eukaryotic large subunit ribosomal RNA", at positions 1 to 544 of the family's 3401-position model. Lineage: Eukaryota; Fungi; Ascomycota; Sordariomycetes. The record is from RNAcentral.
UGAAAAAGAAGUGGCGGGCGCGCCUGGACCCGUAGCGCAGUAAUACACCUCGCUCGCGGCGUCCCGGCGCGUGCCGGCCGUAAAACCCCUUUAUCUCAAGGUUGACCUCGGAUCAGGUAGGAAUACCCGCUGAACUUAAGCAUAUCAAUAAGCGGAGGAAAAGAAACCAACAGGGAUUGCCCUAGUAACGGCGAGUGAAGCGGCAACAGCUCAAAUUUGAAAUCUGGCCUCGGCCCGAGUUGUAAUUUGCAGAGGAUGCUUCUGGCGCGGUGCCUUCCGAGUCCCCUGGAACGGGGCGCCACAGAGGGUGAGAGCCCCGUAUGGUUGGACGCCUAGCCUGUGUGAAGCUCCUUCGACGAGUCGAGUAGUUUGGGAAUGCUGCUCUAAAUGGGAGGUAAAUUCCUUCUAAAGCUAAAUACCGGCCAGAGACCGAUAGCGCACAAGUAGAGUGAUCGAAAGAUGAAAAGCACUUUGAAAAGAGAGUCAAACAGCACGUGAAAUUGUUGAAAGGGAAGCGCUCGUGACCAGACGUGCGCCGGGCCGAUCCUCCGGUGUUCUCACCGGGGCCCUCGGCCCGGCUCAGGCCAGCAUCGGUUUUCGCUGGGGGACAAAGGCGCCGGGAACGUAGCUCCC